Molecule: ribosomal RNA, 377 nt
Filed under: uncultured bacterium
Lineage: Bacteria
Description: bacterial SSU rRNA
Rfam family: Bacterial small subunit ribosomal RNA
Source: RNAcentral
UAAUACGGAGGGGGCGAGCGUUGUUCGGAAUUAUUGGGCGUAAAGGGCGCGUAGGCGGCUGAUCAAGUCGGGUGUGAAAUCCCUCGGCUCAACCGAGGAACUGCACCCGAUACUGGUCGGCUAGAGUCCGGGAGGGGAUGGCGGAAUUCCCAGUGUAGCGGUGAAAUGCGUAGAUAUUGGGAAGAACACCAGUGGCGAAGGCGGCCAUCUGGACCGGAACUGACGCUGAGGCGCGAAAGCCAGGGGAGCGAAUGGGAUUAGAUACCCCGGUAGUCCUGGCUGUAAACGAUGGACACUUGGUGUGGUGGGUACUGACCCCCGCCGUGCCGAAGCCAACGCGUUAAGUGUCCCGCCUGGGGAGUACGGUCGCAAGGCUG